RNAcentral lists this long non-coding RNA (417 nucleotides) under Linum usitatissimum (flax). RNAcentral's name for it is "long non-coding RNA (LUSI_LNC007658)". The record is from RNAcentral. Lineage: Eukaryota; Viridiplantae; Streptophyta; Magnoliopsida; Malpighiales; Linaceae.
AACAACUCUUACAGAUGGGGAACACCAACGGCUACCUGCCCGAAGCAGUUGUCGUGGUCCGAGGCUUUCCACGUUCCUCUGUCGAAGAUUUCGCAGGAGGACUGCUAUGGGGAGUUCACUUCUCUAAGGUAAACUUGGGUUAGCCUGCAGUUCUUCACAAAUUUAAGAAAAUUGGAAAAAGGAAAAAAAACAGGGGAAACAGGGAGAGGAAAAGAUAAAGAACAUAGAACGAUAUUACUUAUCAAAGUCUGAUGCUUUAUGCCUUAAUGUUUGCUUCCUCAGGAAAGUGAUGGUGGAAUUCGCAGAAGCAAUGUCGAAGCUAGCAGGAGUGCUUGCAGGGGUCUUAGCAGAAAACUUGGGCCAUUCAAGUGGGAAUUUCGCAGACAUCUGUCAAGAGAGCAGUUGCUUUCUUCGACU